UUGACGAAUGCUUCGAGAUUCGAGACAAGUUGUUCGGCCUUUGGUUUGUCGUCGGCUGGUAGGUUUUCGUUCUUGGCGGCUUCUUCGAUCUUUGGAAUGAGUGCCUUUGCUUCAACAACUUUAGCACUGAGCUCGUCAAUCAUCUCUUGU
Molecule: non-coding RNA, 150 nt
Organism: Caenorhabditis elegans
Lineage: Eukaryota; Metazoa; Nematoda; Chromadorea; Rhabditida; Rhabditidae
Source: Ensembl